GACGAACGCUGGCGGUGUGCUUAACACAUGCAAGUCGAACGGAAAGGCCCUGCUUUUGUGGUGUGCUCGAGUGGCGAACGGGUGAGUAACACGUGAGUAACCUGCCCUUGACUUUGGGAUAACUUCAGGAAACUGGGGCUAAUACCGGAUAGGAGCUCCUGCUGCAUGGUGGGGGUUGGAAAGUUUCGGCGGUUGGGGAUGGACUCGCGGCUUAUCAGCUUGUUGGUGGGGUAGUGGCUUACCAAGGCUUUGACGGGUAGCCGGCCUGAGAGGGUGACCGGCCACAUUGGGACUGAGAUACGGCCCAGACUCCUACGGGAGGCAGCAGUGGGGAAUAUUGCACAAUGGGCGGAAGCCUGAUGCAGCAACGCCGCGUGCGGGAUGACGGCCUUCGGGUUGUAAACCGCUUUCGCCUGUGACGAAGCGUGAGUGACGGUAAUGGGUAAAGAAGCACCGGCUAACUACGUG
This 468-nucleotide ribosomal RNA is filed under the name uncultured bacterium. Its description in RNAcentral is "partial 16S ribosomal RNA". It matches the Rfam family "Bacterial small subunit ribosomal RNA", at positions 28 to 507 of the family's 1533-position model. The record is from RNAcentral.